RNAcentral lists this long non-coding RNA (1914 nucleotides) under Octopus vulgaris (common octopus). Lineage: Eukaryota; Metazoa; Mollusca; Cephalopoda; Octopoda; Octopodidae. The record is from RNAcentral.
GCAUUUUGCCUGCCGUGCUAAUGUUUCUGCCAGCUCGCCGCCUUUGGUUGUGAGCUGGCCCGCCGCAAUGGUUGACAUACCGGCCUCAAAUGGUUUGGACAAGGCGGCAAGCUGGCAGAAACAUUAACACGCUGGGUGAAACACUUAGCAGUAUUUUGUCUGUCUUUAUGUUCAGAGUUCAAAUUCUGCCAAGGUCAGCUUUGCCUUUCAUCAUUCCGGGGUUGAUAAAUUAAGUACCAGUUGUAUACUGGGUCGAUCUAAUCAACAGGCCCCCUCCCCCAAAAUUUCAGGCCUUGUGCCUAGAGUAGAAAAGACUAUUUUCUUUAUAACGAGGUGGCAAGCUGGCAGAAUCGUUAGCAUGCUGGACGAAAUGCUUAGCAGUAUUUCGCUAAUUACUAUGUUCUGAGUUCAAAUUCUGCCGAGGUCGACUUUGCUGUUCACCUUUUCGGGGUCGAUAAAAUAUGUACCAGUUAUACACUGGGGUCGAUGUAACUGAUUCAUCCCCAUCUCCCAUAAUCUGCCCUUGUGGAAAAAAUUUGAAAGAACUAUUUUAUUGACCUGAAAGUUAACCUUGGCUAAAUUCUGAGUUCAAAUUCUACCAAGGUCCACUUUGCCUUUCAUCCUUUACGGAGUCAAUGAAAUAAGUACCAGUUGAACCCUGGGGUCGAUGUAAUCGAUUCAUCCCCACCUCCCCCAAGCUGCCCUUGUGGCAAAAAUUUUGAAAUAACUAUUUAAUUGAUCCUGAAAUGUUAAGUCAACCUUAGCAAAAUUCUCCACCACCAUCACCAUCGCCACUGCUGGUAUCACCUUCGCUGCCACUGCCACCAUUGCUGUUCCUGUCACUGCUGCCACCCCUCUCUGCCAUCACCACCACCACCACCAACACCAGCCAUUCAAGAAUUUGGUCCUGGAGAUCUCCAUUUCCAGUGACUUCGAGGGCCAUCGCCCAGUGGUGUCGGCCGUCAACAAAGAGGUCGACUUUGCUGUUCAUCCUCUCGGGGUUGAUAAAAUAUGUACCAGUUAAACAAUGGGGUCGAUGUAACCGAUUCAUCCCCAUCUCCCGUUAUCUGCCCUUGUGGAAAAAAUUUGAAAGAACUAAUUUAUUGAUCCUGAAAGUCAACCUUGGAGAAAUUCUGAGUUCAAACUCUACCAAGGUCCACUUGGCCUUUCAUCCUUUACGGGGUCAGUGAAGCAAGUACCAGUUGAAAACUGGGGUUGAUGUAAUCGAUUCAUCCCCAUCUCCCCCAAGCUGCCCUUGUGGCAAAAAUUUUGAAAUAACUAUUUAAUUGAUCCUGAAAGGUUGAAAGGUCAAGUCAACCUUGGAGAAAUUCUGAGUUCAAAUUCUGCCGAGGUCGACUUUGCCUUUCAUCCUUUACGGGGUCAAUGAAACAAGUACCAGUUGACCACUGGGGUUGAUGUAAUCGAUUCAUCCCCACCUCCACCAAACUGCCCUUGUGGCAAAAAACAUUUGAAAUAAUUAUUCAGUUUGGACAUCAUCUGGACAAUAAAAAGGGCCUGGAAGAUAUUUGUGGACGUUUUUGGUUAAACCCUUUAGGAUUAAUACUACCCUGUCAAACGUAAUCCUUAUUUAUCCACAUCGUUUUGAAUUAAUCAUGGAUUAUCUCAAAGCUCCUGAGAUUUCGAUAAUGUGAUUGUUUACUUUCAGAAUGACAUUGCAGGUUCAGUGUGAGGGACCUGAUCUGGCUAGUUUGAACUUAAAAAAAAAUUUGGGCGAGAUACGUCCUAGUCAAAUGUAAUCCUUGUUUAUCCACAAUGUUUUGUAUUAAUCAUGGAUUAUCGCUUAGCUUUGAGAUUUUGUUAAUGCAAUUGUUUAUUUUCAGAAUGACAUUGUAGGGUAAGUGUGAGAAGCCCGAUCUGGCUAGUUUGAACAUAAAACAGAAUAUUUGAGCUUAA